GUGCCAGCAGCCGCGGUAAUACCGGCAGCCCGAGUGAUGGCCGAUCUUAUUGGGCCUAAAGCGUCCGUAGCCAGCCGAACAAGUCCGUUGGGAAAUCCACCCGCCUAACGGGUGGGCGUCCGGUAGAAACUGGCCGGCUUGGAACCGGAAGGCUCAGAGAGUACGUCCGGGGUAGGAGUGAAAUCCCGUAAUCCCGGACGGACUACCGAUGGCGAAAGCACUCUGAGAAGACGGCUUCGACAGUGAGGGACGAAAGCUCGGGUCUCAAACCGGAUUAGAAACCCUGGUAGUCC
Molecule: ribosomal RNA, 293 nt
Filed under: uncultured bacterium
Lineage: Bacteria
Description: partial 16S ribosomal RNA
Rfam family: Archaeal small subunit ribosomal RNA
Source: RNAcentral